AAUCCAUAGGUUAAUGAGGCGAACCGGGGGAACUGAAACAUCUAAGUACCCCGAGGAAAAGAAAUCAACCGAGAUUCCCCCAGUAGCGGCGAGCGAACGGGGAGGAGCCCAGAGCCUGAAUCAGCAUGUGUGUUAGUGGAAGCGUCUGGAAAGGCGCGCGAUACAGGGUGACAGCCCCGUACACAAAAGCGCAUGUGCUGUGAGCUCGAUGAGUAGGGCGGGACACGUGGUAUCCUGUCUGAAUAUGGGGGGACCAUCCUCCAAGGCUAAAUACUCCUGACUGACCGAUAGUGAACCAGUACCGUGAGGGAAAGGCGAAAAGAACCCCGGCGAGGGGAGUGAAAAAGAACCUGAAACCGUGUACGUACAAGCAGUGGGAGCACAGGUUUACCUGUGUGACUGCGUACCUUUUGUAUAAUGGGUCAGCGACUUAUAUUCUGUAGCAAGGUUAACCGAAUAGGGGAGCCGGAGGGAAACCGAGUCUUAAUUGGGCGUUAAGUUGCAGGGUAUAGACCCGAAACCCGGUGAUCUAGCCAUGGGCAGGUUGAAGGUUGGGUAACACUAACUGGAGGACCGAACCGACUAAUGUUGAAAAAUUAGCGGAUGACCUGUGGCUGGGGGUGAAAGGCCAAUCAAACCGGGAGAUAGCUGGUUCUCCCCGAAAGCUAUUUAGGUAGCGCCUCGUGAAUUCAUCUCCGGGGGUAGAGCACUGUUUCGGCUAGGGGGCCAUCCCGGCUUACCAACCCGAUGCAAACUGCGAAUACCGGAGAAUGUUAUCACGGGAGACACACGGCGGGUGCUAACGUCCGUCGUGAAGAGGGAAACAACCCAGACCGCCAGCUAAGGUCCCAAAGUCAUGGUUAAGUGGGAAACGAUGUGGGAAGGCCCAGACAGCCAGGAUGUUGGCUUAGAAGCAGCCAUCAUUUAAAGAAAGCGUAAUAGCUCACUGGUCGAGUCGGCCUGCGCGGAAGAUGUAACGGGGCUAAACCAUGCACCGAAGCUGCGGCAGCGACACUGUG
Molecule: ribosomal RNA, 1019 nt
Filed under: Salmonella enterica
Lineage: Bacteria; Pseudomonadati; Pseudomonadota; Gammaproteobacteria; Enterobacterales; Enterobacteriaceae
Also listed under: 1 other name
Description: partial 23S ribosomal RNA
Rfam family: Bacterial large subunit ribosomal RNA
Source: RNAcentral